UCGAGGGGCAGCGGGGGAGUAGCGAUACUCCCGCCGGCGACCGGCACACGGGUGAGUAACACGUAUGAAACCUGCCCGUAGCAGGGGGAUAAGCGGAAGAAAUUCCGUCUAAUACCGCGUAACAACCCAUGGAGGCAUCUCUGUGGGUUUAAAGGAAGCGAUUCCGGCUACGGAUGGUCAUGCGUCGCAUUAGCUUGUUGGCGGGGUAACGGCCCACCAAGGCGACGAUGCGUAGGGGUUCUGAGAGGAAGGUCCCCCACACUGGUACUGAGACACGGACCAGACUCCUACGGGAGGCAGCAGUGAGGAAUAUUGGUCAAUGGCCGCAGGGCUGAACCAGCCAAGUCGCGUGAGGGAUGACGGUCCUAUGGAUUGUAAACCUCUUUUGUCAGGGAGCAAAGGGCGCCACGUGUGGCGCUUUGCGAGUACCUGAAGAAAAAGCAUCGGCUAACUCCGUGCCAGCAGCCGCGGUAAUACGGAGGAUGCGAGCGUUAUCCGGAUUUAUUGGGUUUAAAGGGUGCGCAGGCGGAAUGUCAAGUCAGCGGUAAAAUUUCGGGGCUCAACCCCGUCGUGCCGUUGAAACUGGCGUUCUUGAGUGAGCGAGAAGUAUGCGGAAUGCGUGGUGUAGCGGUGAAAUGCAUAGAUAUCACGCAGAACUCCGAUUGCGAAGGCAGCAUACCGGCGCUCAACUGACGCUCAUGCACGAAAGCGUGGGUAUCGAACAGGAUUAGAUACCCUGGUAGUCCACGCAGUAAACGAUGAAUACUAACUGUCCGGGCAGAAUGAUGCCUGGGUGGUACAGCGAAAGCGUUAAGUAUUCCACCUGGGGAG
Molecule: ribosomal RNA, 831 nt
Filed under: uncultured bacterium
Lineage: Bacteria
Description: bacterial SSU rRNA
Rfam family: Bacterial small subunit ribosomal RNA
Source: RNAcentral